GCAUGCAGAGGGCUGUGAGCUGGGUGGUGUGGUGUCUUUGAUCUAGGUAUUUUAGGUGAAAGGAGCCAAAUGAGAAGAAAAGGAAGGAACCUAUUCCUCUAGGCUAGAGCGAAGUAUUUAUAAGUGUAAGUGAACUUCUCUUAAUUUGGGAUUUUAAUAUGUCCCAUCAUGAUCGAAUUUAGGUGAGCGACAAUGGAUAGAGAUAGAUAACGUGAGAUCCAUGUGCAUGUGAAUCUUGCAAGAAAAGGUCUAACACUUGUGACUGACGAGGUAAGCUAAAAAAGUUCAUUUGUGUCCAGUAUAUGUGCUUCAUUUUCAUUAUAUCAUCUAUACUCAGGAUUGAUGACUAGUUUUUUUUUUUUUUAUUAAUGUGGUUUCUAGUGAUGGAUCCUAUGUUCUAUGCUUUAAUUUGAUUUAGAAGUUGGAUUCAACUCUGAUUUAAAUUUGGUUAACUAAGUUGAAUAUAAUUAGCAUGAAAAAAAUGUAAAUCAGCAUACUAAAGUACAAAACUGUGUUUCUAAAAUUUCUAUUGUAAACCAUUGAUAAGAAGAACAAUGCCAAUUGCCAACUAUAAUACAAAUGUUAGUCGAUCUCUUAAGGAAUUGUAGGACCGAAGCUC
Molecule: long non-coding RNA, 619 nt
Filed under: Gossypium raimondii (Peruvian cotton)
Lineage: Eukaryota; Viridiplantae; Streptophyta; Magnoliopsida; Malvales; Malvaceae
Description: long non-coding RNA (GRAI_LNC007892)
Source: RNAcentral